UGGGGAAUAUUGGGCAAUGGGGGCAACCCUGAUCCAGCAAUGCCGCGUGUGUGAAGAAGGUCUUCGGAUUGUAAAGCACUUUCGACGGGGACGAUGAUGACGGUACCCGUAGAAGAAGCCCCGGCUAACUUCGUGCCAGCAGCCGCGGUAAUACGAAGGGGGCUAGCGUUGCUCGGAAUGACUGGGCGUAAAGGGCGUGUAGGCGGUUUACACAGUCAGAUGUGAAAUCCCCGGGCUUAACCUGGGAGCUGCAUUUGA
This 258-nucleotide ribosomal RNA is filed under the name uncultured bacterium. Its description in RNAcentral is "partial 16S ribosomal RNA". It matches the Rfam family "Bacterial small subunit ribosomal RNA", at positions 355 to 630 of the family's 1533-position model. The record is from RNAcentral.